UGGCGCCACCUAGAUUUUACAUCCAAGAUAAUAGGUAGAAGUAAAUUUAUUUUCUGCUGCCUUGGUAAUUAGAAAUUAAAAUUGAAAUAGUGAGAAAUGAGUGUUGGCAUUGGUGUAGAAAUAGCGAGAAAUUUAGAGAAAACUCUCUAAGACUAGCAAGAUUUUCUGUGCCAAAUUAAGCAAGGGGUGUUCUUCAUUCAUGCUAUUUCGAAAAUUCCGGAACCGUUGAGUACCCUUAAAAAAUGCCAUUUUUCUAUCAAAAAAGCUGCGGCACCAUAUGUGUUUGACCAUUGCAAUUACACCCAAAGGUGUUGAUAAUUCAUAAUUCGAAAUUUUUUUUAAUGGAUCUUUGAUAGUGAAAAGGCAGGACUAAAUAAGGCUACCAUUGUCGCCUAUGUAAAUAAUUACUUCCUUGUAACCUAAA
This 424-nucleotide long non-coding RNA is filed under the name Mytilus galloprovincialis (Mediterranean mussel). The record is from RNAcentral. Lineage: Eukaryota; Metazoa; Mollusca; Bivalvia; Mytilida; Mytilidae.